AUUACUUCCUUCCCUGAUCAUGCAAUGAAUUUAUUCAAAUAGAAUAUGCAAGUCGUGGCAACUUUUCUAAAGACAACGCAAUAAAGAAACUACUAAACGAGUUGACAGAUGAUAUUUCUUCAGGCGCUAGAGCUAACAUUAUAAUGCAAUUACUGGCCUAUAUUUUGUCAACAAUAAGUAUCCGAAAGGAAAAACCAGCAGGACGAUGGAAGCUCCUUCGCUUAGAAGUUGCUGAAGGAUAACCAUAAACCCUGAAUCUACAUAAGAACUUCCUCUAAGUACGCAUAUGUGCUUAUCUACCCUAGCAAAUCCCCUUUUUUGGUUUAGUAAAAAACUUUUCUAAUGUAGGUGGUAAAUUAGUUCCCUCACGCUAAGAUAUUAUAUACACCAGCACGUUUAUUUUGUAUUUGAUAAAAUAAAAGUAUUUACUA
RNAcentral lists this long non-coding RNA (431 nucleotides) under Sitophilus oryzae (rice weevil). RNAcentral's name for it is "uncharacterized LOC115887096". Lineage: Eukaryota; Metazoa; Arthropoda; Insecta; Coleoptera; Curculionidae. The record is from RNAcentral.